GCCGAGCUCGCGCCGCGUCACCGCGUGCGUCCGUCCGUCCGUCUGUCUGUCUGUACGUCCGUCCGUCAGUUAGUCUGUCCGUCAGUCCGUCUCUGCGGCCUGCAGCACCCGAGCCGCCUCCCCGGGGCGGUGGCACGGACAGGGUGUGCGCUCGGCGGCGGAGGUCAUGGCCGCCCUCCCAGGCAUUACGGCCCCCCGACCUACAGAGUUGUCUUCAUCCGCAGCUGGACCUGUUUCUACCACGAAAAUAACGUGGCAUCCAGGGCGCGCGUGUCCCUGCGUCUGGGGGUGUGAGAGAGCGCGAGAUUGUGACAAAAAUAGCGGCGGCAGGUGGGUAAAAGGCACCUGAUAACCGACAAAGUGGAAGUGGAGUUUUUUUUUGUAAUCAAAAGUGCAUGUUCUGCAUUUGCAGCAUAGGUUUCCUGGGGGGGGGGGGCAUGACCUUUUGGCUUGGAUUGUUUAAGAGCUCGCCUCCCUCUUCCAGUGUGAUAAACCUGAAAUAUAUGACAGGAGACUAAAUCUACACAUGUGAUUGUCACUUUUAUUGGAGGAACUUCGUUGUAUUUAAAAAAAUUUGGUUUGCAGUUCAAUAAUAGUCACUUUUCAGUCAUUUGCUGAAUAUAUGGCUCACUUGGUUCUGCUAAGUGUCUGAAAGAAAAUAUUGCAUGUGGCCCUUGGCUUAUCGGUGAAAUGGAAGGGAGCCGUGCGUGCUAAUAUUCAGUGUUGCCAGAUGGGGGCGGUAAUAGUCCGUUUGAUGGUACCUGGAAAUUCAUUCACUCCAGACUAAAUUUCCAUAAAUUCUGCAAACUCACGCUUAAAGUAUUUGGGAAUGGUGUGGUGGAACAGGAGGCCUCUUGCUGCUCCCCCCCCUUGUUCUGAAGGCUGCCACUCCCCUAAGUACAAAUCUUAGCAUCCAUGACCCCAGUAAAGCGCAGUCCCCACAAUGGGGAUGUCAGUCCCAGUGCGCUGUGUGAAUCCCUGGUAUGCAGGAAGUCAUAUCUGCAGUAGCAGCUUUGUAUAUCCUGUUUUUUUGUUCCGCAAUAGCUGCCGUCAACACUUUUAUUUUCUUCUUUUGCUUAGGUCUUACAGCUGGCCUGACCCUCCCGCCCCCCCUCCCCCUCUGAGUCUGCAUGUCUGUAAAUAUUUGGGUAAACCCAGCGACAUGUUAGCUUUCUGAGAAAUCAGACUUUUUGGAAAACUCCGCCUGUUUUCACGCAGCAAAAUUAACAGUAAUGUUUGUGUGUGUGUGUGCGCGUGUCUUUAAUACUGUUUUCUGAAGUACAAGAUGCUCAUUUCAGAUUGCAUCGAAAGGUUGUACCCUCUCUCAAAGAAAAUGCCUUGUAAUUGCUUCGGUUCCUGGCUGUGACUUACAGUUGCAGCCUUUGAUCCGGCUCCAUGUGCUGCCUGCUGGAGGCUGUCAGCAGUCGUCUGUAUCGGUCCGUCUUUGGGCCCAUCUGCUCCAAUACGCUUUCGUUUAGUAACACAAAAACAUUUCUUAUGAUCUAGUCUUCUGUCCACACUACCACGGACCUGUUCUCCCCCAGCAGAGGAGAAAAAAUUCACCGUUUUCUGACCACUAACGUUUCUGUGAAUGCAUUAGUGCGGACACUCAUAAGCGAGGUCUGCACUAAUGCAUGGCUACACCAGGGAGCUCCGAUUGGUUCGCACCCGUGACUGUUUCCUGAUUAGCUCUCUUAGUUUUCCCUUGAUUUGGAUUUUAUUCACGGGAAUCAGAAAUGCAUGGUCUGACGUCGUGGAUGUUCGGGACUCUCGCUAUUUGGAAUAUGUUGUUUUGCUUAAUUGUGUGCAGCUACAUCCUAUUUUGUGUACGUCGUAUUGUGGAGCUCCGAAAGAGCCUGAGCCACGUGCCUGCUGAUUAGACAUCCAGCCAUCGCACCGUUACAGUGCUCUGAAGCUGAGGGAAGAGAGCGAUACUUGUACUGGCUACAUUUCUGGGCCCCUGGGUUGUUGCUGUGGUGGCUUCUUUCAUGUCCAGCUUUGCGUUUGCACCACUGCAGUAUCACAGUACACUGUGAUAUUUCCAUACCUAUUUACAUAGUCUAAAACGGUUUAUCCUGUUCAGGGUUGUGGUGGGGCUGAAGCCUAUGGGCGCAAGGCAGGGAACAACCCAGGAUGGGGCACCAACCCAUCGCAGGGCACAAGGCAGGGAACAACCCAAGAUGGGGUGCCGGCCCAUCACAGGGCACAAGGCAGGGAACAACCCAGGAUGGGGUGCCGGCCCAUCGCAGGGCACAAGGCAGGGAACAACCCAGGAUGGGGCGCCAACCCAUCGCAGGGCACAAGGCAGGGAACAACCCAGGAUGGGGUGCCGGCCCAUCGCAGGGCGCAAGGCAGUGAACAACCCAGGAUGGGGUGCCGGCCCAUCGCAGGGCGCAAGGCAGGGAACAACCCAGGAUGGGGUGCCGGCCCAUCGCAGGGCGCAAGGCAGGGAACAACCCAGGAUGGGGCGCCAACCCAUCACAGGGCACAAGGCAGGGAACAACCCAGGAUGGGGUGCCGGCCCAUCGCAGGGCACAAGGCGGGGAACAACCCAGGAUGGGGUGCCGGCCCAUCGCAGGGCACAAGGCGGGGAACAACCCAGGAUGGGGUGCCGGCCCAUCGCAGGGCACAAGGCAGGGAACAACCCAGGAUGGGGUGCCGGCCCAUCACAGGGCACAAGGCAGGGAACAACCCAGUAUGGGGCGCCAACCCAUCACAGGGCACAAGGCAGGGAACAACCCAGGAUGGGGUGCCGGCCCAUCGCAGGGCACAAGGCAGGGAACAACCCAGGAUGGGGUGCCGGCCCAUCGCAGGGCACAAGGCAGGGAACAACCCAGGAUGGGGCGCCAACCCAUCACAGGGCACAAGGCAGGGAACAACCCAGGAUGGGGUGCCGGCCCAUCACAGGGCACAAGGCAGGGAACAACCCAGGAUGGGGUGCCGGCCCAUCACAGGGCACACUCACACACCAUUCACUCACAUGCACACCAGUUUGGUAACUCCAGUUAGCCUCAGCAUGUUUUGUGGAGGGAAACCGGAGUACCUGGUGGAAACCCCACGACGACAUGGGGAGAACUUGCAAACUCCACACACGGAGUUAUGGCGAAGACUCGAACCCUGGUCCCAGAGGUGUGAGGCGACAGUGCUAACUUCUAUACCCCCCCCCCCCCAUGAUAUUUUGCUUUGCUAAAUAAAAUGCAUAUAUUUACUUUAAACACAGUUGUGCGUGACAUUAAUUGAAAUUUUUAUAAAAGCAGAACUUACUAAUCAAAGUCAAAACAUAUACUUUACCAGUUUUAGAAUUAUAAAAAAUUUUGACUGGUAAAAAAACGUGCAAAUGACACUAGUGAUGAGGUUAGUGUGGACAAAGGUCUUUUCUUUCGGAAAGUCCCGUAAUUUGUUUUAUGUGUUAAUGUGAAAAUAGUGUUUGUCUCUCGUCCUCUGUACAGAUUUGUCAUUCUUUGGCUCCUUCUAUGGCUUUCUGGAUGCGUUCAGUUGGUAGUUGCGUAUUUUCUGACCUGGGAUUAAAGCUUCUCUCUCUUAGGAUGCGCCCAGCUCGAACUUUUAAGAUCUGUAAAUAAAUGCCAGGAUUUCUCAGCAGUGCUUAGCAAUUUAAGCAGGUCAGACUGCUGUCUGAUUUCUUAGUGGAGUAGAUUUAGCCUGGAGAUGCUCAGUACCAGCUGAACGUCUGAUUACCGCCUGAUGCACGCGUUGGUGUUUCUUUCUGUCCAGUAGGAGGGAGGGCAGCUGCCCUUCGUGCCCACUAGAGGGCCCUCUUCCUUGUCCAGACGCCUGAGGAGUUUUCCCAGUGCUUCCUGUGCUUUUGCAGCUUGUCGUGGGUUUUCCCGCCUGUCCUGAGCGGCUCGGACUCUCCUCCUAGGUCUCAAGGCAGCAGGAAACUGCAGCCUGCACACCCACGAUGGCUGUUUUUAGUGCCGGUUAGCUUUUAACUUCUUUUGGAUUAAAGUUACUGCACCUUCUCGUUUUGUCAUAAGAAACGGUGCUGGAGCAGGGCCCAGGCGCGGCUUUCUGUGAUCCUUCCGGAUGCCGGCGGCAUCUGCUUACUUAACGGGAGAUGAUUUACGUUGGCAGAGUACAUCCUGUGUGUGGAGAGUCCUUGUUGUUGUUGUUCCCUCAGAAAGCUGAGACAAGAUUGAUCUGGUUUCUCUUUUUCCAAAAUGCUCAGAUCUUCUGUGAAGGUUUGUUGCAAAGGGAAAAAUGGGUCAUUGUCCCUGACCAUAGGCGGUUUGGUGGCGCACUAAUGGCUUAGUGGCUGUUUGCAGUUAUGGAACAAAGAGCCUGGGCUAAAUGGCUGAUGAAAGGCUUUUUUAUCGGCCUAACCCUCCGGAGGGGAUACCGCUUACCAGCUUCGCACUGUCAAGCAUCAUGUGAUCAGCUGGUCUUCCUUUCACAUGAAUUCAGUAGGUGAUCUAGGUUUUCUGGGAAGUAAAAGCAAGCACUGGAUUCUUUGGUCAAAUCAACUUUUUUUUUUGUCACAUACACAGUUGUGCAGUGAAAUGCUGGUUCCAAGACUGUGACAGCAUCCGUAUAAAGAAAUAGAACACAAAAGACAAACAGUGUUAGUGGUUUUCAUCUACAUUCCCUCUGCCCUUUUCACGCUCUUAUAUUCCCCCAAAAUCAGCAUUUUGUAGCUGUUCCUUCCACCCGCCCUCACUGGAGUGCUGUUAGGGUUGGCUUCGAUGGCAGUAAAAUACACCUGGACGGGUCUUAAUUCGGCUUUUUAUGCAUGUAAAUAAACAUCUGAUUCAUUUGAAAGGGGGGGGGGGGUUAUUUCAGUGAAAGCCAGGAGGUUGGUGCCCUCUCCUCAUGGUCUGGCAGCGCUCACUGGGUCUCGGCUAUCGUGCGCUGGGUCAUUCUCCAAGCUGUGCUUUCCCUUCUGUUUCCUGGGAUUCCGCUUCCUGAUCCUCGGCGGAGGGCCGGGCAGUUCGCAUUUAAUGCUACCGUCGUCUCAGAUGCCCUGGAGGUGCAGGAAUGUUGGCUGGGGGGCACCUCAGCGUGUAAGGCACCGUCCCGUGUGUUUGCGGAGAUCUCUGUUUGAGAGGCUGAGCACGCCGCUGCCCCAUGACUGCAUCCCCAAGCAGGUUAAGGGCGUCUCCUGCAGAUCUGCUGAAUGGGUGGGGUGACGCGCCCCCCCCCCCCCCCCCCCCCCCCCCGUUGGUUCCGCCGUGUGGUUUAGCAAUCGGAGGCUUGCUGGGUUGCAGGCAUCUCCUGCAGAACCUUCUCCCACACUCGCCACACUCUUGCUGUUCCUCUCGUCAGAAGUCUGAGGCCUUUCUUCUCACCCAAGUGCUGACAGUUGGUAGGAUGUAACACCGAGGAAACGUCUGCGGGGGGUCAGACAUCAGCCCUGCUUCAGCAGCUGUCCUCCCUCUGAGUCUCUGACAGGCAGCUCUCCGCAGUGUCAUGGUCUUACAGCGCGGAUCCCUGUGUCUCUUCAGUCUUCACCUCGCAGUGCCAGAAUGUUCUACAGUACAGUUAUUGUAGCUUGACACUUCAUCCUUGCUACAUUUUGCCCAUACAGGUGGACAAGUUUUUAGCGGCCCGCGCUUUCGAACCUCUGUCAUUUUUUUUUUUCAGGCUCCUCUGGGCCGAUGUUACACCGGCAUGUACAUGGCGACCUCAUGAAGCUUCCUGCUGAAUGGAAUAUGCAUAUGCUAGCCGGUGGAAGAAGCCAUUCUCACCGUGGGACGAGCAGUGUACGAUAAGCAGGGCUUCCUGCUGAAGCUGGACGGGAAGCU
Molecule: RNA transcript, 5759 nt
Organism: Brienomyrus brachyistius
Lineage: Eukaryota; Metazoa; Chordata; Actinopteri; Osteoglossiformes; Mormyridae
Gene: st3gal3b
Gene name: ST3 beta-galactoside alpha-2,3-sialyltransferase 3b
Exons: 4
Source: RefSeq, a predicted model, not a curated record